This is a long non-coding RNA of Cephus cinctus (wheat stem sawfly), 413 nucleotides long. RefSeq lists it as uncharacterized. The record is from RefSeq and is a predicted model, not a curated record. NCBI's taxonomy places the organism in Eukaryota, Metazoa, Arthropoda, Insecta, Hymenoptera, Cephidae. The transcript has 3 exons.
CUUUAUAAGCAUCUUUGUUGCGCCGACUGUUGCAUUAACCCAAGCACUACGUAAUCCAAUGAGAAGAUACGCAACAGGAUCAGAAGCAGUAGGCAAGACGACUUACCCGCUUUGAACGAGAACGCGUGAUCCCUUGGUGGGCUUCCGUUUUCCCCAUGUUGGUACAAUUGCAAGUCGCACCAUUCUAAUGGAUAUAAUGUACCAUCCGGCUUGUAGACGUAUCCGAUCUUCAAUCUAGAAUUCAUUGUCACGUUGUCACUUACACGGAACACGUGCAAGGCUGACAUAUAACACCAAUGGACGCUGUGGUACCAUCCUCGAGGAAAAGCAUGUGAAAUAUAUAACGGUGCAUCAAUUUCCAAUCGCGUUUAAAGCCUGACAAAAAGGUAUUAGAUACAUAACCUAUCUUUGUU